GACGAACGCUGGCGGCGUGCUUAACACAUGCAAGUCGAACGAAGAGCGAUGGAAGCUUGCUUCUAUCAAUCUUAGUGGCGAACGGGUGAGUAACGCGUAAUCAACCUGCCCUUCAGAGGGGGACAACAGUUGGAAACGACUGCUAAUACCGCAUACGAUCUAAUCUCGGCAUCGAGGAUAGAUGAAAGGUGGCCUCUACAUGUAAGCUAUCACUGAAGGAGGGGAUUGCGUCUGAUUAGCUAGUUGGAGGGGUAACGGCCCACCAAGGCGAUGAUCAGUAGCCGGUCUGAGAGGAUGAACGGCCACAUUGGGACUGAGACACGGCCCAGACUCCUACGGGGGGCAGCAGUGGGGAAUCUUCCGCAAUGGACGAAAGUCUGACGGAGCAACGCCGCGGGAGGGAUGACGGCCGUCGGGUUGUAAAGCUCUGUUAAUCGGGACGAAAGGCCUUCUUGCGAAUAGUGAGAAGGAUUGACGGUACCGGAAUAGAAAGCCACGGCUAACUACGUG
Molecule: ribosomal RNA, 510 nt
Filed under: uncultured bacterium
Lineage: Bacteria
Description: partial 16S ribosomal RNA
Rfam family: Bacterial small subunit ribosomal RNA
Source: RNAcentral